GGUGCUAAUACCGGAUAAGAAAGCAAGAUCGUCAUGAUACAGUACUUUUAAAAAGGCGGCGUAAGCUGUCGCUAUGGGAUCGGCCCGCGGUGCAUUAGCUAGUUGGUAAGGUAAAGGCUUACCAAGGCGAUGAUGCAUAGCCCGAGUUGAGAGACUGAUCGGGCCACAUUGGGGACUGAGACACGGGGCCCAAACUCCUACGGGGGGAGGGGCAGCAGUAGGGGGAAUCUUCCACAAUGGACGCAAGUCUGAUGGAGCAACGCCGCGUGAGUGAAGUAAGGUUUUCGGAUCGUAAAGCUCUGUUGUUGGUGAAGAAGGAUAGAGGUAGUAACUGGCCUUUAUUUGACGGUAAUCAACCAGAAAGUCACGGCUAACUACGUGCCAGCAGCCGCGGUAAU
RNAcentral lists this ribosomal RNA (398 nucleotides) under uncultured Lactobacillus sp. Its description in RNAcentral is "bacterial SSU rRNA". It matches the Rfam family "Bacterial small subunit ribosomal RNA", at positions 159 to 524 of the family's 1533-position model. The record is from RNAcentral. Lineage: Bacteria; Bacillati; Bacillota; Bacilli; Lactobacillales; Lactobacillaceae.